This is a long non-coding RNA of Monodelphis domestica (gray short-tailed opossum), 952 nucleotides long. RefSeq lists it as uncharacterized. Lineage: Eukaryota; Metazoa; Chordata; Mammalia; Didelphimorphia; Didelphidae. The record is from RefSeq and is a predicted model, not a curated record.
CGCUCCACUCAAUUCAGGAUUCACAGGAUUUAAUGUGGGGAUCUACUGGAUGAUAGAUCGACCUCAUUUGGUUCGAGCCCCCUUCCAGCCUUCAAGCACAUGGAGGGAUAUUGUUAUUCAAAAGAUGGGCCUGAUCAUUUGAAGAACAGUUGAACAAAUCAUGGCUUAUGGAUGUUGGAGAAUACCACUGUGCUCUAAGAAAUGGCAAAUAUGAGGAAUACAGAGAAGCAUGGGAAGACUUACAUGAACUGAUGCAAAGAGAGAUUGGUCUCUCUGAAACUCCAUCCAUUGCUGGGCUCUCUGGGGCCGAGGAGAACCAAGCUAACCUUUCCUCCAGGAGGACAGCCUUUGAAGCAUCAGAAGACGGCGAUCACGGUCGAAGCCUGAGUCCUCCUUUCCCUGGGAGCCAGAGCAAGAAGGUGGGGAGUGGAGUGUGGAUGGAAAGCAGAAUGGAGAGGAAACUUGGGAUGGUGAUGGUGUCCCGUUAUCCCAGAGGGAGGGACCGAAUCCUCCAAGCCUUCCGUGGUCUCUUCUCUGAUGCUUGAGGACCUCAUGUCCGAUGUGACCCACUUCAUGAUGGGUAGCAUGGGACUGGACUUGGAUUUAGCUAGAAGACCGGGGUUCGAAUCUUGGCUAGGGGACCCCAGGCAAAUCGCCCCAUUCUCAUCUGUCCAAUUGGGAGCUUGGGCUUGUUUGACGGCUUACAUUCCUUUCACAUCUGGAUCAAGGCGCCUCAGAAUCCCCAGAUUCCCCCAAAGCCCCGAGCUGGGGCUGCUUCCAGCAGAAAGCCUUUUCUGCUCUUCCCCAGUGCGACAGCCUCAAACGCUGCCCGAUCAUUUUCAGGAAUGAAAUUGAACCUCCUCACCAGGGCACGUGCGUGUCUCCACGGAGAGAGCAGACGCGGCCCCAUUCUUGUCGGGUAUCCUGAUGCUCAAUAAAUACUUGUUGAUUG